CAGCAGCCACGGGAAUACGUAGGUGGCAAGCGUUGUCCGGAAUUAUUGGGCGUAAAGGGCUCGUAGGCGGUUUCUUAAGUCUGAUGUGAAAGCCCCCGGCUCAACCGGGGAGGGUCAUUGGAAACUGGGAAACUUGAGUGCAGAAGAGGAGAGUGGAAUUCCACGUGUAGCGGUGAAAUGCGUAGAGAUGUGGAGGAACACCAGUGGCGAAGGCGACUCUCUGGUCUGUAACUGACGCUGAGGAGCGAAAGCGUGGGGAGCGAACAGGAUUAGAUACCCCUGUAGUCCCUGUCUCUUAUAC
Molecule: ribosomal RNA, 301 nt
Filed under: uncultured bacterium
Lineage: Bacteria
Description: partial 16S ribosomal RNA
Rfam family: Bacterial small subunit ribosomal RNA
Source: RNAcentral